This 397-nucleotide ribosomal RNA is filed under the name uncultured bacterium. Its description in RNAcentral is "partial 16S ribosomal RNA". It matches the Rfam family "Bacterial small subunit ribosomal RNA", at positions 523 to 918 of the family's 1533-position model. The record is from RNAcentral.
AUACGUAGGUGGCAAGCGUUGUCCGGAAUUAUUGGGCGUAAAGCGCGCGCAGGUGGUUCCUUAAGUCUGAUGUGAAAGCCCCCGGCUCAACCGGGGAGGGUCAUUGGAAACUGGGGAACUUGAGUGCAGAAGAGGAUAGUGGAAUUCCAAGUGUAGCGGUGAAAUGCGUAGAGAUUUGGAGGAACACCAGUGGCGAAGGCGACUGUAGGGUCUGUAACUGACACUGAAGCGCGAAAGCGUGGGGAGCAAACAGGAUUAGAUGCCCGGUUAGUCCACGCCGUAAACGAUGAGUGCUAAGUGUUGGGGGGUUUCCGCCCCUCAGUGCUGCAGCUAACGCAUUAAGCACUCCGCCUGGGGAGUACGGUCGCAAGACUGAAACUCAAAUGAAUUGACGGGG